This 253-nucleotide ribosomal RNA is filed under the name uncultured bacterium. RNAcentral describes it as "partial 16S ribosomal RNA". It matches the Rfam family "Bacterial small subunit ribosomal RNA", at positions 524 to 776 of the family's 1533-position model. The record is from RNAcentral.
UACGUAGGUGGCAAGCGUUGUCCGGAAUUAUUGGGCGUAAAGCGCGCGCAGGCGGUUCUUCAAGUCGCGUGUGAAAGCCCCCGGCUCAACUGGGGAGGGUCACGCGAUACUGAUCGACUCGAAGGCAGGAGAGGGAAGUGGAAUUCCCGGUGUAGUGGUGAAAUGCGUAGAUAUCGGGAGGAACACCAGUGGCGAAGGCGACUUCCUGGCCUGUUCUUGACGCUGAGGAGCGAAAGCGUGGGGAGCGAACAGG